GUGGGCGGGGGUAAUGAGGAGCAACGGGGAGGGUUGCUGGAAGCGCCCAAUUCACUAGAAGAGUCAGCAAACUACUCCCCUCACCGCUUCCCGAUCCCUCAUUGCUCUGGAGGAGUUGGGCCCCCUUGCUGGGAAUCCGGGGCAUCUUUCCCAAAAGUCGGGAACUGCACCUGGCUGCCCAGUCCUAUAGCUCUGCUACCCUGAGCCUAUUAGCUGUCCACCGCACCUCAACCUUUACAGCCACAGUGAUACCAGCCACCACUUAUUAAGUACCUAUGGCAAUUAUUUUUUAUGUCCUGUUCUAAGUAAUUCUCAUAGCAGCUUUAUGAUGAGGUAUUAUUGCUUCCGUUUUUUGUAAGAGAAACCAGGGACAGAAGGGUCAUGUUUAAUAAGAUCAUGCCGCUUUCAUUGAUCCAAUUAAUGAGUCCAGCUCAGAGGGGACAUGUAACAUACAUGUUAAACAUACACACACAUACCUGUUACACUGCAGGCGUUCAGUGCAUUAAGUGACUUCACUGGGAAUCUGUCUUGAGUUUAGUUAGCACGAAGUCAAAACCUGUUUUCAGGUGUGGCCUCAAAACGGGCUGAUACACAGUGGCUCAUUUCUGGAGCUUUCAAUUACCAAUUAUUCCUCACAUCUCCCUAUGUGCCAGGAACCAUUCUGGGCCUGAAUGGCAUUGGUACAGGGUCUGUGUCCAGAGGUUGGAAUGGUUGCCUCACUGUUUAAGAUUCAGGAUCAGCCCCUCCAAGUCCUCUUCCUACUGGGGACCUUAAGGUUUCAGUGAGAGGGUGGUGGAGCAGGGUUAAGGGUGCCCCUGAGGGUCACUGGCAAAUAGCCUUGCAAGUAGCUACAGGCCCAGGAGCCAUUCCAGCCUUGAGCCUGUGGGCUUGUGGGAAGGAAUACUGCUCUCAUUUUUCUUUGGCUUCUUUAACAUCCUGGGAGUGGGAGGGGAGGAAAGGAAGAAGGUGAGUUCAGCCAGCAGCCAAGGGAGCUGUUUGCACCUCCCACCACUCUCUCCCUCCCCAGACAUGAUGGAGUCCUGUCUUGACUUGGCCAAACAGGGGAACAGAGACUUGCUUGAGAGAAAGGGGCGGGAUGGAAGACAAGUCCACAGAACUUGCUUUUCCCAGAUGUCUCAGUGCACCCAAGUGGCUUCCUUCCUCCAAAUCCUAAAUAAUCCAGCCUAGAGCCCUGGAGAGGAACUUCCCAAUGGGGAGGGAAGCAGAAGUAAUCUCCUGGGGGUAGUGAUUUGUGGGGAAGGAUGCUUACUCACCCCAGCCCUCUCCUGGCAAAAAGAAGUGUGGGACAGAGUGACCUCCACAGAAAUCUGCCUCCUGAUGACAGUCUUGUGAAAAACUCCCACCUUGGACACCCUCCCCUCCCAUCCCCAUCAGACCCCAGGCCCUUCUCCUCCAUCAAAUCUGUUCCACCCCAUGAGGCAGAUGUGGUAGGACUAGGGAUAGUCUGAGUUGGGACCACCGUCCUUCUUUCUUUUCAAAGCUUACCCAUCCUAUUAGAAGGGCCCUGGGAAUUUGGGCAGCAAAAUGAGAGUGCUGGUCCCACAUGCCCUUGCUCUCUGCCCCAUCUCCCCUUCUCCUCCGAGAUCAUCGGAUUUCCUGAAGAUUCCAAAUCUUUUGUCCGGCUCCACCACACAGCAAAACGUGUCACACCCCUGCAGAAACCUUCCGGUAGUUUCCAAUCAUUCUUGGAAGAAAAUCCAAACUGUUCCCUUUGUCUAAAAUGCCCUUCUCUCAGAUCUUGGCACGGUGGGCUCCUUGCCAGUCUGGAUUCUGUACAAAUGUCACCACGUCUUCAGGAACCCUUUCCCUGACAACCUAGAGAUCAGGAGAGACCCACCGUUUGGCCAUCUUCUGCCUUUCACCAUGCUUUAUCUUUACCUAGUACUUAACAGUAUCUGAAAUUAUAUUUAUUUACCAGUGUACUUGCGAGGCAGCUGUGAAAUGCAUGGGAAGUGGUUUAAACUAACACUUCCUGGAUGUGUAACCUUGGGUGAAUCUGUUAACCUCUCUGAGCCUUGGUUUCCUCAUCUGUAAAAUGGGGAAAGCAGUUGUACCUGUAUCACAGGGUUGUCAUGAAGAUCCAGGAAGUGAUGCUCAGCACAGUAUAAGGACUCAAUAAAUGUAGGCUGUUAUUAUUAUAACAGUUAAGAGUGACAGUGUACGGUUACUAUCCCCAUGGCCCAAAACUGUACUGAAUGAAACAGAAAGUAAGCCUUCACCUAUUAUGUGGGAAGCACACUCCCACCAGCUGUCUUGUGGGCGCCAUGCCAUUUUGGAAAUGACCAAGAAUGCCAUGUGCAGCGAGUACCAGGAAGAGCACUUGACAGAGAGUCAAAAGCCAUUGGUUCUGGACUCAGUGUUGCUACCACUUCACCGCAGGACGUGGGCUGGUCACCUUUCUUCACUGGGCCUCAGGCUCUUCCAAGAAAAUAAUGAAUUGAAGCAACUGAUUGCUGUGCUCCCUGCCAGCUUCCAGGGGUUCUGCUUUGAGUCCUGUGCUCUCUUUAUCCACCACAUAGCCUUCAGGGUUGGGGAGAUACAUGGUGCCUUCAACUUCCCUCAACCUUGUUUCCUAACAGGCCAAAGCUGCCGCGAAGAGAGUUGAACCCAGGGAAAACAUUCUUGGUUUAAACCUUUGAACCCAGAGACAAAAGUCUCAGCCCUGGACACCAGAUCUUCUUUUCACCCACGUCACUCUCCCUGCUUCACCCUCAUCCGCUGUCAUAUCUGAGCCCUGAGGAGGGAGAGCCAGCCCUCACUUCCCCUACAGGCACGAAGGCUUUGGCCUCAGUUAUUCUCAGACAUGCAGACAGGGUGUGUGUGUAGCUGCAUGUACACAGAUGUGUGUGCCUGUAUGUACUUGCGGGUAUCUGUAGCUAUAUUUUCACUUGUUUCCAUUUUUCCCUCAGGAGCGGCAAGACUGAGAUUAACUGAAGGAAAAGAUUGUACAUCCCAGGGCUGAAAAUGCUGUCUGCCCCUUGCUGGAGCUGCCUAUCUGCCCCGUGGGGUCAUUCUGGGGUGCUGGGAAUGGCCUAAGGAGAGACAAAGAGAAACAGAGUGUGAGUGGGGGAGGGGCAGAGAGAGAGAGGGAGACAGAAUCCAAAGCAGGCUCCAGGCUCUGAGCUGUCAGCACAGAGCCCGACACAGGGCUCCAACUCAUGGACUGAGAAAUCAUGACCUGAACUGAAGUUGGACGCUUAACUGAGCCACCCAGGAACCCCUCUUGUCUUUUUGGUGGCAGACAUUCUAACAGGCUUCACGGAGUGCCGGGGUUGACUUCUAGAGACAAGCAAAACCCUCAGGGGGCAGAUAAUUAGCAGUGCACAAGAGAUACAGCCAACUCAGAAAAACCCAUCCUUCCUGGCUGUGUGACCUUGAGCAACAGGUGCAUCUGCCAUCCUACACCGGAUUUGGCUUUCUACAGGACCAUGGAGGUCUUCAUAGAGCCUGGCCCAAGGGAUCUACUCUCUUCUGAUGGACAGUGCUCUGUGACAUGACCUGAUGCUGCUCCUCAGUGGGACCUGUACCUGUUAACAAGUACAUGCUUACAUGUGUGUGUGUUGGGGGUCACCUCAUCGGCCAAAGCAUAACUACCCCUUGCAGGGUUUUCUCUUUUGCCAAGAAGCAGUGGAUCUCCAGCAUCCAUCCUCAGACCUGCCACUUUUAAGUUGCAUCAGGAUACUCACUGCUUCCUGCGGUGCCUGUGCCUCCAAUACACCACCUGUCUGUCUCCCGCGUCCCACUCUUCCUCCUCCUGUCUUUACCUGUUUCCCUUGGUAACUCUCUGGAGCCUGGGGAAGCCUUCUCAGGACAAGAUGGUCCUUCAUGACCAGAUCCUUCUCACCAAGGGGCCUCCAAUCUCAGCCCUCCAAGGGAUCGGGAUGCUGCCAAGGCUGAUAGCAGACAGCCCAAUGUGGGGCCGAAUUCAUGAACCGGGAGAUCACGACCUGAGACGAAGUUGGUCACUUAACCAACCGAGCCCCCCAGGCACCUCCGUAAUUUAACUAUUUACCUGGUGAAGGACAUUUGGGUUGUUUCAAGUUCUUGGCUAUUAUGAAUAAAGCUGCUAUAACCAUGUAUAUGAGUUUUGAAGUGCUCAGGGCUAUGGAAUUAGCUACCACAUUCUGGGGGCCAUGGGUGCUUACUGGGUCCAUCAUUGUUUCUAACGGCUUUUCAGUGGACAGAACUAGGAUACGCUUUUCGAUUUAAACUACAAUAUACCAGGGGUUCAUAAGAUACUUCCUAAAUUCAAUAUGGCAGAGAAUUUGCAUGACAUCAUUGAUUUUACAUAUGUAUCUCUUUUCUACUAGGUGAAAAUUCCAGUUCUG
This is a long non-coding RNA of Panthera uncia (snow leopard), 4349 nucleotides long. RefSeq lists it as uncharacterized. NCBI's taxonomy places the organism in Eukaryota, Metazoa, Chordata, Mammalia, Carnivora, Felidae. The transcript is spliced from 7 exons. The record is from RefSeq and is a predicted model, not a curated record.